GAUGAACGCUAGCUACAGGCUUAACACAUGCAAGUCGAGGGGUAACAGGGUAGCAAUACCGCUGACGACCGGCGCACGGGUGAGUAACACGUAUCCAACCUGCCAUUAACUCGGGGAUAGCCUUUCGAAAGAAAGAUUAAUACCCGAUAGUAUAAGUUUUCCGCAUGGUUAACUUAUUAAAGAAUUUCGGUUAUUGAUGGGGAUGCGUUCCAUUAGAUAGUAGGUGAGGUAACGGCCCACCUAGUCAGCGAUGGAUAGGGGUUCUGAGAGGAAGGUCCCCCACACUGGUACUGAGACACGGACCAGACUCCUACGGGAGGCAGCAGUGAGGAAUAUUGGUCAAUGGGCGGGAGCCUGAACCAGCCAAGUAGCGUGAAGGAUGACUGCCCUAUGGGUUGUAAACUUCUUUUAUAUGGGAAUAACAUCAUCCACGUGUGGAUGCCUGUAUGUACCAUAUGAAUAAGCAUCGGCUAACUCCGUGCCAGCAGCCGCGGUAAUACGGAGGAUGCGAGCGUUAUCCGGAUUUAUUGGGUUUAAAGGGUGCGUAGGUGGAAUGAUAAGUCAGUUGUGAAAGUUUGAGGCUCAACCUUAAAAUUGCAAUUGAUACUGUUAUUCUUGAGUACAGUUGAGGUAGGCGGAAUUCGUAGUGUAGCGGUGAAAUGCUUAGAUAUUACGAAGAACUCCGAUUGCGUAGGCAGCUUACUAAACUGUAACUGACACUGAGGCACGAAAGUGUGGGUAUCAAACAGGAUUAGAUACCCUGGUAGUCCACACAGUAAACGAUGAAUACUCGCUGUUUGCGAUAUACAGUAAGCGGCCAAGCGAAAGCAUUAAGUAUUCCACCUGGGGAGUACGCCGGCAACGGUGAAACUCAAAGGAAUUGACGGGGGCCCGCACAAGCGGAGGAACAUGUGGCUUAAUUCGAUGAUACGCGAGGAACCUUACCCGGGCUUGAAAUGUAACUGAAUAUUUUUGAAAGAGAAUAGCCGCAAGGCAGUUAUGUAGGUGCUGCAUGGUUGUCGUCAGCUCGUGCCGUGAGGUGUCGGCUUAAGUGCCAUAACGAGCGCAACCCUUGUCAUUAGUUACUAACAGGUUAAGCUGAGGACUCUAGUGAGACUGCCAUCGUAAGAUGUGAGGAAGGUGGGGAUGACGUCAAAUCAGCACGGCCCUUACGUCCGGGGCUACACACGUGUUACAAUGGGGGGUACAGAAGGUUGCUACCUGGUGACAGGAUGCUAAUCCGUUAAAACCUCUCUCAGUUCGGAUCGAAGUCUGCAACCCGACUUCGUGAAGCUGGAUUCGCUAGUAAUCGCGCAUCAGCCACGGCGCGGUGAAUACGUUCCCGGGCCUUGUACACACCGCCCGUCAAGCCAUGGGAGCCGGGGGUACCUGAAGUACGUAACCGUUAAGGAGCGUCCUAGGGUAAAACUGGUGACUGGGGC
RNAcentral lists this ribosomal RNA (1442 nucleotides) under uncultured Bacteroidaceae bacterium. Its description in RNAcentral is "16S ribosomal RNA". It matches the Rfam family "Bacterial small subunit ribosomal RNA". Lineage: Bacteria; Pseudomonadati; Bacteroidota; Bacteroidia; Bacteroidales; Bacteroidaceae. The record is from RNAcentral.